This 2238-nucleotide long non-coding RNA is filed under the name Homo sapiens (human). RNAcentral's name for it is "HSALNT0345188". The record is from RNAcentral. Lineage: Eukaryota; Metazoa; Chordata; Mammalia; Primates; Hominidae.
CAUUAGCCCUGCACUCCCUCGCUAAGUGGCUGACGUCCCAUAUUUGAGACUUCUAACUCCUUUGCUUUUUCUUUUUCUGGGUCCAAGACAUCUUGGACAAUGUGAUUACAGUUUCAAGUGAUCCUUCUGCUCAACCUUCUCUUUUUAACCUCAGGAAGCUGAGGUCCGGGGUGGGUGAAGCAACCAGUCCGGGACCCCACAAAGGGCGGCGGCGGGGCCAGUCCCGGGACCCGGUGUUCUGACCCACUUCGCACGCGACCCAGGGUGAUUCUGAGAACGGCGUCUCCGGGAGACACUUGCGGUCUCUCUCACUAGCAGACCUGCGGCCAACUUUCGGGGAGCUCUGCGGCGAGCAGGACAAUCAGAGCCGGGCUCGGCUCCCCGGUCCCCCGAUCCCAUGCGCCAGGCGCGCCGGCAACCCGAGCUCCCAGCCACUCCGGGCUGCCGUGCGCGUCACCCGGCAUCUUCACCAACGCGCCUGGGUCGGGCCUCCGCUUCCGACACUCACGUUCAGCCAGCAUAGACAUGUCGGAGAGCCUGUGAUACCGCCGCCUCUGGACCUGGGUGACUGCGGCCACUGGGCGGGCUGGAGACUCCAGGAGAAUCAGGACGUGCGUAACUCCCUCGCCGGCGGACUGCAGCGGACGGGGCGCGUGCUGGUGACGUCAGUAGCGCGCGACUCGCUCCUCGAGCACGCGGCGGCGAGGGGGCGGAGCAGGGCGGGGCAACCUGGGGAGGUGACGGGAGAAAGAGGGACUGAGGGGGCGGUGGCCGCCCUGCGGGAGGUGGAGAAAGGAUGCACACACUGGAAGGUUGCCUUUAUUAUAUCCAUUUCUGUAUUCGUACCAGCACCUCGCAAAAUAAUUUUCUGUAUGUUAUAGAAGUUCAAAGAAGACAAACUCUAGCCAAGAGCAGUGUGAAGAAAAGAAGACGCUAUAUUAAUCACAGUCCAGGGAUGCCUUCUGGCUUCCUGGCAGCAAUUCCGGCCUGAGAUUCCUUCUCUGUGCAUACUUCCUGUCAACAUUGUGUGAUGUCAAGCUGUGGCCGUCACAAAAGUACUGUGAACACCUGUAAAUCCCAACUAUCAAAAAUCACACCCAGGAAUCCAAAUUAGCAUUAUUAUGUCAAAAGAAAAACCUGAUUUCUUCACUGUCUGAUAACUGCUUUCUUUAUUGUCCUAAACUAGCAUUCCCUAACCUUUGAGUGAGAUAGUGACACUUUAGUUUCUUAUAUUCUAAAAUGUUUUCAGGGGCAGCUGGUGGCAGAGGAGAGGGCAGUGGGGAUAGGGCAGGGAGACAGAUACCUGCACAAGGAAGGUAUGGGGAUGAGGUGGGAGUCAAGAUGAUGAACGGAGAGAGGGAUGGUAACCGAUUUAGUCACCCAUUUGAGAGGGUCUCCAGACUUGCACUGCUGGCUAAAGACUCCUGUCCUAAGUGAGAAAGCAUCAUGUCAGGCAGGGGCUCUAUCCCGGUGGUUAUGGGUGGACAUUCUGGAGUGAUCUAAGGAGGCUUCCCGAGUCUCACUGUUGGCUCUCCCUGACCCCUUCUAAAGCUUUCUUUCUAGCUUCUGCUGCCCUCCAGGUAAGCACUCCACAGCCUGUGGAGCUCUGUGGGUAUAGUCUGUCCUUCCCAUAAUGAUUUGCCUCGCUGCAGUAAUUAACAGAAUGACUUCCAAAAUUAAGGGUUCAAAUCUGGCUGUGACACCUACAAUUAUGUCCCCUCUCUGAUUCCUCACCUGCUAAUCCAUGGGGUUGCUGUGAGCACAUGGGAUGCCUCAUGAUACUGCAAGUGGCCACUGCCAGUUGCCUUGAGAAUUACAAGCAGCUCUUGGUGCCUAAUCUGCUCCAUCUCUUAUUCUUCAUAUUCUAUGUAUGUCUUCCUCUGCCACUUACCAGCUGUUGACCUUGGGCAGGUUACUAAAUUUCCUAUGCUUUCUUUUCCCCAUUUAUGUAAGAAUAGCAAUGAUACCUACCUCAAAGGUACUGUAGAUGCUAUAGAUGGAACAUUGGUUUCCUCCUUAAAAUUUACAUAUUGAAAUCUUAACCCCCAAUGUGAGAGUAUUUGCAGGUGGGACCUUGAGAGGUGAUUAGUUCACUAGGGUGGAGCCCACAUGAAUGGGAUUAAUGCCCUUAUAAAAGAGAUCCUGGAGAGUCUUGUCCCUUCCACCCUGUGAGGACAUGGUGAGAAGUGGCCCCUCACCAGACACCAAUUCUGCCAGCACCUUGAUCUUGGACUUCCC